RNAcentral lists this ribosomal RNA (1858 nucleotides) under Candidatus Zixiibacteriota bacterium. Its description in RNAcentral is "partial 23S ribosomal RNA". It matches the Rfam family "Bacterial large subunit ribosomal RNA", at positions 1 to 1790 of the family's 2925-position model. The record is from RNAcentral. Lineage: Bacteria; Pseudomonadati; Candidatus Zixiibacteriota.
GAUCAAGUUACUAAGGGCAUGCGGUGGAUGCCUUGGUACAGGCAGCCGAUGAAGGACGUGAUAAGCUGCGAUAAGCCUCGGUUAGCUGCAAAUAAGCUUUGAGCCGGGGAUUUCCGAAUGGGAUAACCUGGGCCGGUUAUGCGGACCCAUCUCAUACUGAAUACAUAGGUAUGAGAAGACAACCGGGGGAAUUGAAACAUCUUAGUACCCCGAGGAAAAGAAAACAACCGUGAUUCUCCAAGUAGCGGCGAGCGAACGGGGAUCAGCCUAAACCGAUGAGCACGUUAAAGGGUGCAUCCGUUGUGCCGUCGGUGUCGCGGGAUCUGGUCUGAGCGAAGUGCAAAUAGCUCAAGAAGUUACAAAAUACCUGUCUAGCCAAACACUCCUGGAACGGAGGGCCAUAGAGGGUGAUAGCCCUGUAGGCGAAAGGCACGGUAUCUUCUUGGACCAGUCUCCCAAGUAGCACGGGACACGAGAAAUCUUGUGUGAAUCUGCCGGGACCACCCGGUAAGGCUAAAUACUUGCCUGUGACCGAUAGUGAACAAAGUACCGUGAGGGAAAGGUGAAAAGUACCCCGGAAGGGGAGUGAAAUAGUACCUGAAACCGUAUGCCUACAAGCUGUGGGAGGCGACGUAUCGUCUUCGGAUGAUACUUAGCUGACCGCGUGCCUAUUGAAUAAUGAUCCGGCGAGUUACUUCUCUGUAGCAAGAUUAAGGUAAACACUACCGUAGUCGUAGCGAAAGCGAGUCUUAAUAGGGCGAUUAGUUGCAGGGAGUAGACCCGAAGCCAGGUGAUCUACGGAUGGCCAGGAUGAAAUCUCGGUAAAACGAGAUGGAGGUCCGAACCCACCAGCGUUGAAAAGCUGGGGGAUGAGCUGUCCGUAGGGGUGAAAGGCUAAUCAAACCUGGCGAUAGCUGGUUCUCCCCGAAAUGUCUUUUGGGACAGCCUCGUGUUAGUGUUGCGGAGGUAGAGCACUGAUUGGGCUAGGGGCCGAAAAGGUUACCGCCCCCUAUCAAACUCCGAAUGCCGUAUACAUGAUGCACGGGAGUGAGCCCGUGGGGGAUAAGCUUCACGGACAAGAGGGAAACAACCCAGAUCGUCGGCUAAGGUCCCCAAGUUACGCUGAGUGGUAAAGGAUGUGAAAUUACUCAAACAGCUAGGAUGUUGGCUUAGAAGCAGCCAUUCAUUUAAAGAGUGCGUAAUAGCUCACUAGUCUAGUGAUUUCGCGCCGAUAAUUCACGGGACUAUGCGUAACACCGAAGCCGCGGGAUUCAUUCUUCGGAAUGGAUCGGUAGGGGAGCAUUCCGCCUUAGAUUGAAGGUGUGUCGUAAGACAUGCUGGACGAAGCGGAAGAGAUUAUGCCGGAACGAGUAGCGAUAAAACGGGCGAGAAACCCGUUCACCGAAAACCUAAGGUUUCCUGAGGAAGGUUAAUCCGCUCAGGGUUAGUCGGAUCCUAAGCCGAGGUCGAAAGGCGUAGGCGAUGGAAAACAGGUUAAUAUUCCUGUACCAGCUUGAACGCGUUAUACCUAUGGGGUGACGCAGGAGUGAAGACCAGCCCGGUACCGGUUGUCCGGGUCCAAGCAUGUAGGGGGGAGAGGCAGGCAAAUCCACCUCUCCAUACUCCGAGAUGCGAUAGGGAGAGCCUAGCUCAUAAACUGGUCGUAAUCAGACUGCCAAGAAAAGCCUCUAUGGAAGUUUUCAAGCUGUCCGUACCGCAAACCGCCACAGGUAGGUGAGGAGAGAAUCCUAAGGUGCUCGAGAUAACCCUCGUUAAGGAACUAGGCAAAAUGGCCCCGUAACUUCGGGAGAAGGGGUGCUCCAAUUAGGUAGAGCUAUUCGCGAGCCGAGAUGAAAGG